UACAGAGGUCUCAAGCGUUGUUCGGAUUCAUUGGGCGUAAAGGGUGCGUAGGUGGCGCCGUAAGUCGGGUGUGAAAUUUCGGAGCUUAACUCCGAAACUGCAUUCGAUACUGCGGUGCUUGAGGACUGGAGAGGAGACUGGAAUUCAUGGUGUAGCAGUGAAAUGCGUAGAGAUCAUGAGGAAGACCAGUGGCGAAGGCGGGUCUCUGGACAGUUCCUGACGCUGAGGAGCGAAAGUGUGGGGAGCGAACAGG
Molecule: ribosomal RNA, 253 nt
Filed under: uncultured bacterium
Lineage: Bacteria
Description: partial 16S ribosomal RNA
Rfam family: Bacterial small subunit ribosomal RNA
Source: RNAcentral